AUUAGGACACAUGACUUGUUUGUACAUUCUUCUCUUCGUCUUUAUUUUCAUGGACUAUGUCAUUUUUCACUUCAAUUUUAAGGUCCUUUAAAACUCCCCAAGCGAACAGUGCUGUAGAGUGCAAUACAAUAAAACAAAAAUACAACUGAUUCAAUAACACUAAGAAUGAUAAAACAUAAUCAAACAAGAAUAACACAAAACCAUAAAAAUCAACACUUAAGAAAGAAGACCAGGACCAGACGAGCUGCUGUAUGAAGCAGUCUAUUUUGCCUAUUCUGCAUUCUCCUAAACCAGGGGUCUGCAACCUGCAGCUCUGGGGCCACAUGUGACUCUUUGGUCCCUCUGCAGUGGCUCUUUGAACAUUUGACCAAACAAAACAGAUUUUUUUGUUUGUUUUGUUUUUUAUUCUCACAAGACUAAUAAAUUGUAUGUACAUAUGUGAUCAGUACUACUAAUAUAAAAAGUAAAACAUGUUAGCUCGUGCUAGCCUGUUGUCUACCUAAAUAAUCCAAAUUUUUUCUAUGAUUUUUCUCUCAAAUCCAUCAGGGUUAUCUUAAAACACCUUUAGGACUACAUAACAAUAAGAAUUAGGGGCAACAAAUGUCUGACUAAUUCAGAUGUAUUAGUUUUUAUGAAAUUCUGUAUAGACUAUAGCCAGCAUUUUUCAUGUCAUAUGUUUUUUUCUUCAGUCCUGAUGUGUAAAAAAAUAAAAUAAAAUUCACAAUAUAAUUUUUAAGUUUAUGUCACCUCCACUGGCCAUAAAGGUUCACGAAUAAGUCUCGAAAAAGGCUCACGAACCACCAGUUGAUAAUCACAGUUGUAGCUUCUUUUGCGGCUCUGGGCACAUUUUAUGAGUGAGCCGAGGAGCAGAAAUGGCUCUUUUAAUUGUAAAGGUUGCAGACCCCUGUCCUAAACAAACACGCCCACACUCAAGAAACAACACUGAAGAUAAAAAAACUAAAGCACAGAUCCUCACAACCACACAUCAAUGUUUUACRCAACAACUCAGUUGAUUCUAGAAUUGAACGACUUUUUWAAAGUUUUGUAGAUCUGUCCAGACCCUGAAAAUGUCUCAACUGAUCCAGUCUGUAGGUUAGACAUACUGUAUCUAUGGUCAAAGUGGCAGCGAKGGUCAAAACAUAUCAACGUGUGGUCAGAGACACACAGCUGAUGUGUGAAUGCUCYGGUCUGUCUGCGAGCACAAAGCCUGACUCAUGAGAUAACCGGUCACCUGUCUCACAUUUAACUCAGUUUUCAGUCCUCUCUGAUUUACCCUUCUGCCAGCUGAGCAACUCUUAACUAAAYUAUUUCAGGCACACAUUUCAAGAGAGAUGGUCCGCUGUGUGUUUAGAGUGGCUUUUUAAUAAUUACAGGUCGAAAAGAAAAUAACAGAGAAUUUGAAAUCCACUUUUCAGUUAAUGGGAUUUUAUCUUCUACUGAAGGUAAACAGUGAGCAAUCAAUAUGAAUAUUACAAAAAAAACAGUUUUAAAAUGGAAAAAAACCUUAAAUGUCUGAAAUUACUGGUUUGAAUCAACACAUCUGGAGAAUAAUAUAGCUCUGUUUACACAAUUUUAGAUGAACUGAAACUAUU
Long non-coding RNA from Austrofundulus limnaeus, 1592 nucleotides. RefSeq lists it as uncharacterized. The record is from RefSeq and is a predicted model, not a curated record. NCBI's taxonomy places the organism in Eukaryota, Metazoa, Chordata, Actinopteri, Cyprinodontiformes, Rivulidae. The transcript is spliced from 2 exons.